Molecule: ribosomal RNA, 305 nt
Filed under: uncultured bacterium
Lineage: Bacteria
Description: bacterial SSU rRNA
Rfam family: Bacterial small subunit ribosomal RNA
Source: RNAcentral
UUCCUACGGGACGCAGCAGUGAGGAAUAUUGGUCAAUGGGCGGAAGCCUGAACCAGCCAAGUCGCGUGAGGGAAUAAGGCCCUACGGGUCGUAAACCUCUUUUGCCGGGGAGCAAGGGCGGGGACGUGUCCCGGCCCGGAGAGUACCCGGAGAAAAAGCAUCGGCUAACUCCGUGCCAGCAGCCGCGGUAAUACGGAGGAUGCGAGCGUUAUCCGGAUUUAUUGGGUUUAAAGGGUGCGUAGGCGGGCGUUUAAGUCAGCGGGAAAAGUUCGGGGCCCAACCCCGCCCGGACGGUGAAACUGGGG